RNAcentral lists this transfer RNA (107 nucleotides) under Callithrix jacchus (white-tufted-ear marmoset). It matches the Rfam family "tRNA". From Rfam's summary of the family: Transfer RNA (tRNA) molecules are approximately 80 nucleotides in length. Their secondary structure includes four short double-helical elements and three loops (D, anti-codon, and T loops). Lineage: Eukaryota; Metazoa; Chordata; Mammalia; Primates; Cebidae. The record is from Rfam by way of RNAcentral.
GUCAGGAUGGCCGAGUGGUCUAAGGCGCCAGACUCAAGUUGCAACUUCCCAUGGGUGGGAAUUCUGGUCUCCGACUGGAGGCGUGGGUUCGAAUCCCACUUCUGACA